Molecule: microRNA precursor, 134 nt
Filed under: Zea mays
Lineage: Eukaryota; Viridiplantae; Streptophyta; Magnoliopsida; Poales; Poaceae
Source: RNAcentral
AGGAUGGAAGCCGCUCAGACUAGCCAAGGAGGCUGCCUGCGGGGACCGCACGCGGUGGAGGCGGGGCCACGCAACGUCCGCAGCAGGAGGCCACAGGCAGCUCAUCCUUGGCUACCGAAGCAGAGCUUCCAUCG